Mus caroli (Ryukyu mouse) is the source of this 138-nucleotide non-coding RNA. NCBI's taxonomy places the organism in Eukaryota, Metazoa, Chordata, Mammalia, Rodentia, Muridae. The record is from RefSeq and is a predicted model, not a curated record.
UUCCCCUGGGGAUGGGCAAAGAGACCCCUUGUUGUUGUUCUUAUACCAGUCAGGGUCAGAGCAGAUGGCAGUCCUUUGUUCAUCCUAGCUUCAUGCCUGGCUUGGUGGGCAAAACUGUUGUAUGCCUAGGACUCAUAA